RNAcentral lists this long non-coding RNA (203 nucleotides) under Vigna radiata. Its description in RNAcentral is "long non-coding RNA (VRAD_LNC009316)". The record is from RNAcentral. Lineage: Eukaryota; Viridiplantae; Streptophyta; Magnoliopsida; Fabales; Fabaceae.
GGACUAACAAAGUUCAUCCUUAUCCCACGAACCCUACGAAUAAAGUUUUAUAAUAUACAAAAAACUCAUCAAACAACCAUAUAAAGGAAUGUAAUAAGAAAAAAGUCAUUCCCGUACGACUUUUAAUUAAAUGUUAGUAUUCUAAUCUCUAUUACAGUAUCUAAAUUAGACUCAAUUUUAGAAAAAAGUAAAUUACUAUUUCA